UGCCUAAUACAUGCAAGUCGAACGCUUCUUUUUCCACCGGAGCUUGCACCGGAAAAAGAGGAGUGGCGAACGGGUGAGUAACACGUGGGUAACCUGCCCAUCAGAAGGGGAUAACACUUGGAAACAGGUGCUAAUACCGUAUAACAAUCGAAACCGCAUGGUUUUGAUUUGAAAGGCGCUUUCGGGUGUCGCUGAUGGAUGGACCCGCGGUGCAUUAGCUAG
RNAcentral lists this ribosomal RNA (222 nucleotides) under Enterococcus faecium. RNAcentral describes it as "partial 16S ribosomal RNA". It matches the Rfam family "Bacterial small subunit ribosomal RNA", at positions 45 to 248 of the family's 1533-position model. Lineage: Bacteria; Bacillati; Bacillota; Bacilli; Lactobacillales; Enterococcaceae. The record is from RNAcentral.